Molecule: ribosomal RNA, 633 nt
Filed under: Triticum aestivum (bread wheat)
Lineage: Eukaryota; Viridiplantae; Streptophyta; Magnoliopsida; Poales; Poaceae
Description: partial small subunit ribosomal RNA
Source: RNAcentral
AUGGUACAAGAUAAUACCAAAUUGUGUGACUUUUCCAAUACCAAUAAUAAUGAUUUCCUUAGUACUCCGAUUUCUCCUCUUAAUGAUGUUGAGUCUUGUGAAAUCAAAGCUGCUUUGCUGAAUCUUGUUAUGAAAGAUCAAUUCUCCGGCCUUCCUAGUGAAGAUGCCGCUACCCAUCUAAACAACUUUGUUGAUUUGUGUGAGAUGCAAAAGAAGAAAGAUACGCAUAAUGAUAUUGUUAAAUUGAAGUUAUUCCCGUUUUCACUUAGAGACCAUGCUAAAGUUUGGUUUUCGUCUUUGCCUAAGAAUAGUAUUGAUUCAUGGAAUAAGUGCAAAGAUGCUUUUAUCUCUAAGUAUUUUCCUCCUGCUAAGAUCAUCUCUCUUAGGAACGAUAUUAUGAAUUUUAAAGAACUUGAUCAUGAGCAUGUUGCCCAAUCUUGGGAAAGAAUGAAAUUGAUGAUUCGCAAUUUCCCUACUCAUGGUUUGAAUUUAUGGAUGAUCAUACAAAUUUUUUAUGCCAGAUUGAAUUUUGCUUCUACAAAUCUUUUAGAUUCGGCCAUGGGAGGCACGUUUAUGGAAAUCACCCUAGGAGAAGCUACUAAAAUCCUUGAUAACAUUAUGGCUAAUUAUUCU